GCCCCGCACCUGGUCCGGCCCCGCCCCCCCGCCCCGCGGAUGCUCCCGGGUAGCGGCGGCGGUGGCGGGGCCAUGGCGACCCCGGACAGCUGCGUCAAGGUGGCCGUGAGGAUCCGUCCCCAGCUGCCCAAAGAGAAGAUAGAGGGAUGUCACAUCUGCACCUCGGUGACACCUGGCGAGCCCCAGGUGCUGCUGGGGAAGGACAAGGCCUUCACCUACGACUUUGUCUUUGACCUGGACACGUGGCAGGAGCGGAUCUACACCACCUGUAUGGGGAAGCUCAUCGAGGGCUGCUUUGAGGGCUACAAUGCCACAGUGCUGGCAUAUGGGCAGACUGGCGCGGGGAAGACGUACACCAUGGGCACCGGCUUCGACAUGAGCAUCUCCGAGGAGGAGCAGGGCAUCAUCCCGCGGGCCAUCGGCCACCUCUUCAGCGGCAUCGAGGAGCGCAAGCGCGCGGCUCAGAGCCAGGGCGUGGCAGCCCCCGAGUUCAAAGUCAGCGCCCAGUUCCUGGAGCUCUACAACGAGGAGAUCCUGGACCUGUUCGACAGCGCCCGCGACCCUGACGCGCGGCACCGCAAAUCCAACAUCAAAAUCCACGAGGAUGCCAGUGGGAGCAUCUACACCACGGGGGUCACGUCGCGCCUCAUCAGCUCGCAGGACGAGCUGAUCCAGUGCCUAAAGCAGGGAGCUCUUUCCCGUACCACCGCCAGCACCCAGAUGAACGUGCAGAGCUCCCGGUCCCACGCCAUCUUCACCAUUCACCUGUGCCAGACGAGAGUGUGUGCCCGCCCGGAGCUGGUGAACGGGGAGGUGACCGGCCUCCUGGAUGGAUCCCAGCCUGCCACCGAGUACGAGACCUUGACAGCCAAGUUUCACUUUGUGGACCUGGCUGGCUCGGAGAGGCUGAAGCGGACGGGAGCAACCGGCGAGAGGGCGAAGGAAGGGAUCUCCAUCAACUGCGGGCUGCUGGCCUUGGGGAACGUCAUUAGUGCCCUCGGAGACCAGAGCAAGAAAGUCGUGCACGUGCCCUACCGCGACUCCAAGCUCACCCGCCUGCUGCAGGAUUCCCUUGGGGGCAACAGCCAAACCAUCAUGAUUGCCUGUGUGAGCCCCUCUGACCGGGACUUCAUGGAGACCCUGAACACGCUCAAAUACGCCAACCGGGCUCGCAACAUCAAGAACAAAGUGGUGGUGAACCAGGACAAGACGAGCCAGCAGAUCAGUGCCCUGCGGGCCGAGAUCGCCCGCCUGCAGAUGGAACUGAUGGAGUACAAGGCAGGCAAGCGAGUCAUCGGGGAGGACGGCGCAGAGGGGUACAGCGACCUGUUCCGCGAGAACACCAUGCUGCAGAAGGAGAACAGCGCCCUGCGCAUGAGGGUGAAGGCCAUGCAGGAGGCCAUCGAUGCCAUCAACAGCAGGGUCACCUACCUCAUGAGCCAGGAGGCCAACCUGAUGCUGGCCAAGGCAGGGGAUGGUAACGAAGCCAUCGGCACCCUCAUCCAGAACUACAUCCGGGAGAUCGAAGAGCUGAGAACGAAGCUUCUGGAGAGCGAGUCCAUGAACGAGUCCCUGCGCCGCAGCCUGUCCCGAGCCUCUGCCCGGCCCCCCUACUCCAUGGGCUCCUCCCCAGCUGCUGGCCUGGCAGGUCUGUGCAGCCCCGCCGUGCCCGUGGAUUCAGAGGCCUCCGAUGUCCUCCGACGGGCCAAGCAGGACCUGGAGCGCCUGAAAAAGAAGGAGCGGAGGCAGCAGAGGAAGAGCCCAGAGAAGGAGGCGUUAAGGAAGCAGCAGAAACUGCAGCAGGACAACGGGGAGGAGACGGAUGAGAACGAGGUGGAAGAGGAGGAGGAGGAGCAGGAUGAGAGUGGCUGUGAGGAAGAGGAUGGGCGCGAGGAUGAAGAUGAGGACUCGGGCAGUGAAGAGAGCCUGGUGGACUCAGACUCGGAUGCAGAGGAGAAGGCUGUGAAUUUCCAGGCUGAUCUGGCAGAUCUGACCUGUGAGAUUGAGAUCAAGCAGAAGCUGAUUGAUGAGCUGGAGAACAGCCAGCGGCGCUUGCAGACCCUCAAGCAUCAGUAUGAGGAGAAGCUGAUCCUACUGCAGAACAAGAUUCGGGACACGCAGCUGGAGCGGGACCGGGUCCUGCAAAACCUCAGCACCAUGGAGUGUUACACAGAGGAGAAAGCCAACAAGAUCAAAGCAGACUACGAGAAGCGGCUGAAGGAGAUGAACCGGGACCUGCAGAAGCUCCAGGCGGCCCAGAAGGAGCACGCUCGCCUGCUCAAGAACCAGUCCCGCUACGAGCGGGAGCUGCGGAAGCUGCAGGCAGAGGUGGCCGAGAUGAAGAAGGCAAAGGUCGCGCUGAUGAAGCAGAUGCGGGAGGAGCAGCAGCGGCGCCGGCUGGUGGAGACCAAGAGGAACCGGGAGAUUGCACAGCUCAAGAAGGAGCAGCGCCGGCAGGAGUUCCAGAUCAGGGCUCUGGAGUCUCAGAAGCGGCAACAGGAAAUAGUGCUGCGGAGGAAAACCCAGGAGGUGUCAGCACUGCGCCGUCUGGCCAAGCCCAUGUCAGACCGGGUGGCGGGCAGGACGGGCCAGAAGCCGGCUAUGCUGGACUCGGGCGCAGAGGUCUCGGCCAGCACCACCUCCUCCGAGCCCGAGUCCGGCGCUCGCUCCGUCUCCAGCAUCGUGCGCCAGUGGAACAGGAAAAUCAACAACUUCCUGGGAGACACCUCGUCCUCUGUGAACGGGGCUCGGCCUGCCAGGAAGAAGUUCCCCAAGAAGGGCUCAAGCCAGACCUUCAGCAAAGCCGCCCGCCUCAAGUGGCAGUCGCUGGAGCGGCGCAUCUUCGACAUCGUCAUGCAGAGGAUGACCAUCGUCAACCUCGAGGCGGACAUGGAGAGGCUCAUCAAGAAACGCGAGGAGCUGUCACUGCUGCAGGAGGCGUUGCUGGGCAAGCGGGCGAAGCUGCAGGCGGAGAGCCCCAUGGAGCAGAAAGGGCUGCAAGAGCUGAAUGAGGAGAUUGAGGUGCUGGGGGCCAACAUUGACUACAUCAACGACAGCAUUUCAGACUGCCAGGCCACCAUCAUGCAGAUUGAGGAGACCAAGGAGGAGCUGGACUCCACGGACACCUCGGUGGUGAUCAGCUCCUGCUCCCUGGCCGAAGCCCGGCUGCUGCUGGACAACUUCCUGAAGGCCUCCAUCGACAAGGGGCUGCAGGUAGCCCAGAAGGAGGCCCAGAUCCGGCUGCUGGAGGGGCGGCUGCGGCAGACAGACGUGGCCAGCUCCUCACAGAACCACGCCAUCCUGGACGCCCUGCGGGAGAAGGCCGAGUCCCACCCCGAGCUGCAGGCGCUGAUCCACAACGUCCAGCAAGAGAACGGCUACACCAGCACGGAUGAGGAGGUCUCAGAGUUCAGCCUGGCUUCAGAUGGGAGCAUCUCCCAGUCUUUCACCAUGAAGGGCUCAGCAAGCCAGGAUGACUUCAAGUUCAAGGGAGAGCCCAAGCUCUCGGGGCAGAUGAAGGCGGUGUCAGCUGAGUGUCUGGGACCCACGCUGGACGUCUCUACCAAGAACAUCACCAAGUCCUUGGCAUCCCUCAUGGAGAUCAAAGAGGAUGGGAUCGGCUUCUCCAUCCGAGACCCCUAUUACAAGGAGAAGGUGUCGCGCACCGUCAGCCUGCCCACGCGAGGAAGCACCUUUCCCAGGCAGUCUCGAGGCUCAGACACUUCUCCCCUGACGAGGCGGAAAUCCUACGACCGUGGGCAACCUGCCAGGCCUGCAGACAUUGGCUUCACACCUCCCUCCUCCCCUCCCACCCGCCCGCGCAACGACCGCAACGUCUUCUCCCGCCUGACGAGCACCCAGAGCCAGGGGUCUGCCUUGGAUAAGUCUGAUGACAGCGAUUCCUCUGUCUCGGAGGUGCUGAGGGGCAUCAUUAACCCAGUGGGUGGCACCAAGAAUGCCCGGACAGCCCCACUGCAGUGUGUCUCGGUGGCAGAGGGACACACCAAGCCUGUGCUCUGCCUGGAUGCCACCGACGAGCUGCUCUUCACGGGGUCCAAAGACCGGAGCUGCAAAAUGUGGAACCUGGUGACGGGCCAGGAAAUCGCCUCCCUCAAGGGUCACCCAAACAAUGUGGUUUCCAUCAAGUACUGCAGCCACACGGGGCUGGUGUUCACCGUGUCCACGUCGUACAUCAAGGUGUGGGACAUCCGCGACUCCGCCCGGUGCAUCCGCACCCUCACAUCUUCUGGACAGGUGAUCUCUGGGGACGCCUGUGCUGGGACCACCACCCGCACGGUCACCAGCGUGCAGGGGGAGCACCAGAUCAACCAGAUCGCCCUCAACCCCACGGGCACCACGCUCUACGCCGCCGCCGGGAACUCCGUCCGCAUCUGGGAGCUGAGCAGGUUGCAGCCUGUGGGAAAGCUGAGCGGCCACAUCGGGCCCGUGAUGUGUCUCACAGUGAACCAGACAGCGAGCAACCACGACCUGGUGGUCACAGGUUCCAAAGAUCACUACGUCAAGGUGUUUGAGAUCACGGAGGGCAUGGUGGGCAACAUUGGCCCAACUCACAACUUUGAGCCCCCUCACUACGAUGGCAUCGAGUGCCUGGCCAUCCAGGGAGAUGUCCUCUUCAGCGGCUCCAGGGACAACGGCAUUAAGAAGUGGGAUCUGGAGCAGCAGGAACUUACCCAGCAAAUCCCCAAUGCCCACAAAGACUGGGUCUGUGCCCUGGCCUUCAUCCCCGGCCGCCCCAUGGUGCUGAGCGCCUGCCGAGGAGGUGUCAUCAAAGUCUGGAACGUGGACACCUUCACCCCAGUCGGGGAGAUCAAGGGGCACGACAGCCCCAUCAACGCCAUCUGCACCAACUCAAAGCACAUCUUCACUGCCUCCAGCGACUGCCGGGUAAAGUUAUGGAAUUACGUGCCUGGGCUCACCCCUUGCCUUCCACGACGCGUCCUUGCCAUAAAGGGCCGUGCUACUAGUCUGCCUUGACCCUCCUGCUCUUUGACUCUCUUGCUCAUGUGCUCUUCUUCUGUCUCUCCUUCCCUUUUCUCUCCAUCUCUCCCUCCCUCUGUCCCUCUCACUGUCGGUUUUGCUCUUCUCUCUCUUUUUUCCCCUCUUUCUCUCUGGUCUGAGCUGCUUCUUCACGCGACUUGACAGUGAAGCUCUGGAGUGGGAGGAGGUUGCCCGCGGGGUCAAACUAGGAACUGCAGAAAGACUGGAAGGCUUGGGAGCAGGGUGAAGGUCAGGGUGCCUCCCCCUGCUAUUAGGACUCGCUCAUCUACAGGAGCACUCAGCCCAGCACAGGGAUUUCUUUGUGCCUGACCCAACGGGGUGGAGGAUGCCUCAUGUGAUACUUUGAGCACUGCCAGCUCCUGUGGGGCACUGGCAGCUCUGUGGGGCACUGACAGCUCCACCUUCCCUCCUGCUGAGGUUUCUCGAUGGCUCUCUGGUGACCAGGAAAUAUUUCAUCUCUCCUCUCACCCAUCCUGCUGUAAGGACUUCUGGGGGUCAGAGCUCCUUGGCUCCUUCUUGGAGACACCCAGUUCCCUCCUGCCACUGUGGGCUUGUGUGGCCUCUGCUGUGAUGUGCUGCUCUGGGGCUGGUUCCUGCAGGAGUCCUUCUCCACAACCACGAGGACAUUUGGUGUCUGCUGGCCAGGACACAAGUACAGAGGGUGCUUCUCUGGAGCCAUUACUCGUGGGACACCUCUCUGCUGUGGGGGCUGCAGAAGGAUUUCCUGGUACUCCUAUUCUUCCCCAUCCUCUGUCUACCUGUCCCCUGCAGUUGGAGGUUGGGCACCUCUGAGCUCCUUUGCCAUGUCCCAUCUUGGGAGACACAGCAAGCCUGGAAAGAUCUCUGUCAGGCAACUUCCAGACAAACCUGCUGCAGUUCCCUUCGAAGUUCUUCAAACCCCAGCUGUAACCACAACUGCCCCAUGGCUCUGGGCUCUUCCCCACGUGCCCACCCUGCUCUGCAGCGGGGAGGGAUGGGCUGCUCAGCCCUGCUCUGGACUCUGUGACCCCCAGCACGGGUUUGUGGGUCCUGCAGCGCAUUAACUCCCUCGAUGUGGAGAAAUGAAGCAAGAAUGGAGGUUACAGGGCAAAACAGCCAAGGCUGGAUUUGUCAACCCCACUGCUGUGGCAUAUCUGUCCUUCCCCUGGGCUCUGCCCUCGGCCCUCUGCCUGGGUUGGAGCUAGCUGAGGUUGGGCCUGCUGGUCUCCAUGGAUCUGGGGAUGGAGAGGGCCCAGCAAGGCCUGGAGCAGCUGGAGUCUCCUGUGCCAGGAGGAGAGUAAGGAGGGGGUUGCACACACUGGUCUCGCACAAGUCCCCUGACUCUCCCUGCGCUCGAAGGACAAUCCUGCAGCAGAUGCACAAUCCCAUCUCCGUCCAGGAGUGUUUCCCCAAGGAUGCACCUUCUCCAGCCUCCUUCCUCUCUCUCUCCUGUUCCAGGGGCUGGCAAGGCCCUGGUCUCACACUGGAGCUUCCCUCCGUCUCUCCUUUGGCCUGUUGGACCAUCCCCUGCUCUGUCCUGCCCUGGGCCACGCAGAGCUCUCACGGGGUGGCCGAGGAGGCUCCAGGAUGGGUGCUGCCUCACAUGCUCUCCUUUCCCCUUUGUCACAGAAGAAGCAGCACUUGAACUCAAAUUUAAGGAUUUCUCCAUGUGAUCCCACCAGCACUGAACUGGGAUCUUGGAGGCCAAGGGUUCCAGGACCUGCCCUAUAAAGCACAGACCAUUUCCCCUCUGCUCUCUCCAACCAUGGUGACACCUGGACCAACCCCAGGUCAUUUGCUAUCAGCCCUUGUUUUACAUAUUCUGGCUGGAGAAUGGGGAUUCCUCUGCAUCGUGAAAGACAGGAGCAUCUCUGUUGAAUUGAUGGGGGGGGUUUGCCUUUUGGGGGGAAAAUUCCAUCCUACUGACUUGCCUUGUUGGAGGGUGUAUGGCAUGUGUGGGUGUGACCCUGCCCAGGACAGUCACUGGUCCCCUGUGAUUGUGGCUGAGCCCUGCAUAGCCAGGACUGAUGAGUGUAUUGAGGUGAGGAGCCCACCCAUCCCGUGGGACCUGUGGAACUGGGGGCACAGCCAGAAAUGUCCAGGGCAGCUCAGCCACCCAGGAACGCACAGACAUGGGGGUCUGGAGGAUGUGUCACCCCCCCAAACCUGUCUUGGAGAGGGUUUCCCUGCUCAUUCCUCAGCUGGUUUAACCUUUGCUUGGCCAGAGGGGGGGUGUGUGUAUGGUGGGGUGUGUUUGGCUGUAGCCAGCUGUCACAUGUGCAUCCAUGUCUGCACUGAGAUCUGCCAGUGCCUGCCCUGAAAUCUCCUGCUGCUCCUGCUGAAGGGGAGCUCGGGGGGGCCUAGGGUCGGACCUGCCUUGCUUUUCACCACCAGUUUCUUCCCAUGUGCAGGCUACAGGUGCCUGUUUAAUACUCCAGGGUUGAGUGGCCAGUCCUGGAUGUGCUGAGCAUCCCUUGCAGCUACGGUCCAGCAGUGUGUUGAGGGGCUUCAAGGCUCCUGCUGCCUGUGGAGGGAGGGAGCUCAUACUGCAGCACUGGCAUCCCAAGGUGGGGGGUCUUUGAAGUGAGGGGUGUUGUGGUUUAGGGAUGAUUUUCUCCAAUUUAGUACUCCCACUAAAACCAUGCAUGGCUCGCUCCCCCUCCCAGUCCCCUGCUGUGGACUGGAGAGGAGAACUGGAGGCACAAAAGGUAAAGAUCAUGGGUUGAGAUAACAAUUUACUGAAAAACAUCAAUUAGGGAAGAAAACAAACAGUAACAGCAAAAAUAUUAAUAACAAAAGUGUACCAAAGAGAGUGAUUCACAUGCAAAAUGCUCACCAUGGAGCCCCUGACCUGACCCCCAGCCAUGUUACCUUGACCAGAAGAGACCCCUUCUCCCUGGAAGAGAAGAAAUGGAUUCUGCCCCUACAUAUCUCAAUGGCAUCAGGGUACAUUGUGCACUGGGCACUAAAGCCUUAUACUCUUGUGGGUCUGAUGUGCCAUCACAUCCACACAGUCCAGUAGAUCCCACUGCCCCUUUCCUCCACCUGGCUGGAGGCAGAGCCCCUCUAGUCUUGGGCACAAAUACUCAUUGCUCACUUCUUGUAAAUAUGAACUGGAGGUCCCUUCGAGAGGAUCAGAAGGAACAUCAACCCUCCUCUUCUGUCUGAGGACCUGCCCACUGGAAAGUGGAGUGGCAUUUAUCCUUGAAGAAUUUCUGGGAUGGUUGUUCUUCCUCUCGACUCAUGUACCCCUGCUGCUGGGGCAGAGGUGGGUUUUCCAUCCCAUUUCAUGUCUUCUCUGUGGUCAUGUAGGUAAAACCACAGGUUAUCUCAUGGUGUGUCCCCUCUCUCUGGAGCAGGGGGGCACUUGCUCCCAACAGCAGAUACUGAUCCACACUGGCAGGGCAUCAGACAUUAUAACUUGCUCAAGUCUGUCCACAGUCUUGGACAGUCUUUCCACAGCGGAGUUGCAGGUCAGUAGGGAGGAAAAAAGAUGAUCUUCAUAUUGCUGGAGUCAGCUAGUGACUGAGGUGCUGUUUGUUCUCCUUCUUUCACUGACAUCAAUGCCAACGACUUGAUGUAUGAUGAUGGUGCACCCUGUACAAACUUCUGCCCCAUGGAUUUUGUGCACUGGACCUCCUCUGGAUCUACAGGGGACUGCUUUUUAUUUGAAUCCCUGUAGAUUAGCUCCAGAACAGCUGCUUCUCUCAGGCACUGGAUACCUUUCUUUGUGCUGUUCCACUUGUCUCGGUGCACUGUUGGAUCACCCUUGAGAGAACACCUUUCCCUCACACUUGACAGUGGCCUCCAGAGGCUGAGAGUUUCUGUCCCCUUCCCAAUCCCCCGGUCAGUGCCCACAUCCCAGCACAGGGAUCCCAGCUGCUUGACUUCACUACUCUCUAGUUUCAUGUUGUGGGCUGUGAUACCCCAGCCCUGGAGCAGCCAGGUCACCAGGGGCUCUCCUGGUGACAGCUGAAAUCUUUUCAGGUACCUUGCAGCUCACCCAGAUGGGGAUCAGGUGAUUAUCUCUGGUCCUGCCUCCUCCUCCUGUUCUGAGGGCCCUCCUUCUCUUCAUCCCUCACUGUGCAAACUGAUUUGGUCUUGGAUUUCUUGUUCUGUGCAGGGGUGACUGUUACCAGCAUGGAUUGUUCCUCUGGCUCAGCUGCAGUUUGAGUGGCCACAGUGCCUGUUGCUCUGUGUUCCUCCUCCUCCCCCUCUAUCUGAUGCUGUCUGGUGACAAGCAGUGUCUGACAAAACAGCAGCCAGGGCCCAGCACGCAGCAAUGAGUUGCUCCUCUCUGGAGUUGCCACAGCAUUAUCCUUGCAAAUAUUCUGUUACUUUAUUAGGGUCCUGUAGUUGUUCAGGGAUGAACUUCCAAACCAUUUGAGCAGAGAAUUUUCCCCAAAACUGUCCCAUUUUUCUCCCACUUCCAUGCCACUCAUGACUACCCCUCCUUGGGGCAGAUCUCUGAACAACCUUUGUAGAAAUCUCUUGGCUCUAAACACAGCGUAGGCUGCACUGAGGAGACCUGGCAGGCUUAGCAACAAGAACAUGCUUUCCUUAACAUCCAAAGGGAAUUCAGAAGUCUCAAAAGCUGUCGUAACAGGCCUGAAGGAGUAAAAGGGGGUGAAAGGCUGGGGAAAAUCAUCCUCCCCUGUUCCUCCCCACAGACUGGGUACUGUUAUUAAUGGACUCCCAAAGGUAAGAGGAGGAGAGUAACAUUGAAAACACAUCCCAAACGACCUUCAUUGUGUUAUCAUGUCAUAAACUGAUAUCCCACACUACAUCAACAAAGCAAUUCUGAUCCCUCUCCCUGCUCUGAAAAAGAGCACCUUGAGGAGCACAGAGGGGAGUAUAUGCAGGGUUAGGUACCACACCCCCAUGAACAGACCAAGCAACAUUGUGACCAAUUGGUCUGUCCCCAGUACAGCAAAUGCUUAAAUCCAAUUUAUUUCCAACCUGUUCUGAGCAGAUCUGUUGUUAUCUCAACCCUUUGAGCCCCACCUUGGGUGCCAAAUAAAGCUGUCGUGGUUUAGGACUGGUAUUCUCCAAUUUAGUACUCCCACUAAAACCAUGCACCGCUCCAGGGUAGAGAUGAUAGGUUGAAAUAAGAACAAUUUACUCCAAACAGCAGUGAGAGAAGAAAACAAACAGUAACAGCAACAAUAUUAAUAACAGAAGUGUACAAAAGAGAGUGAUUCACAUGCAAAAUGCUCACCUAAGAGCUUGGCCUGCUACCACAGCUGGAAGAGAUGACAUUAGGUGGUAUAAAAUAACCUCAGGGUCCUGGCCAUGCCCCCUCCUGGCUACUGCGAAAAUUCACCCUGUCCUGACCAGAACAGGGGCAGGGGUGACUGUGAUCCCAUCUCUGUGUGUGUCUAUGUGUGUGUGUAUGUCUUAGUGCCUGUGUGGGGUGAUGUUUCCCAUGCAGGAGAGUGUUUCUGGGGUGUUGAUCUGGUUUAGCUACCUCACGGUGCAAGCUGGGUGCUGUCAUCGUUGGGUUUCGUACUGGGGAUGGGGUGGGGAGGUUUUUUUUCCUCUUAAUUAUUGUUAUUGUUAUGGUUUUGACACUUGAAUUCAUCCUGGGGACACGUGGCCUCACUCCCACCUUCCUGCAUGUCUGAGCCGCCCCCUGUGUCCCCCUACCUGCUUCCUCCUGGGCAGGGCACCAGGACCAGUGUCCUGCUCCCCUGCUCUGCCAGCUCCCACCUUUGGCAGUGGGAUUCCUGCUCCCCUGCACUGCCAGCUCCCACCUUUGGCAGUGGGAUUCCUGCUCCCCUGCUCUGCCAACUCCCCCCCUUGGCAGUGGGAUUCCUGCUCCCCUGCACUGCCAGCUCCCACCUUUGGCAGUGGGAUUCCUGCUCCCCUGCACUGCCAGCUCCUACCUCUGGCAGUGGGAUUCCCCAGCCCAGUUGCAACACUGAGAUUUUGCUCCCAUUGCUAGUGGGAUGUUUGGACUGAGGCCUGGCAGUGUUGCUGUUCAUUAUUGGGUUGAUUGGCAGCCUAGGAGUGGUCCAUCUUGCCCUUGGAAGGAUGGAAAGGAACCUCUGGAAGGUUCGGCUCAGCCCACAUUCCUGCCUCUGUUCUCAUGGAUAUUCUCUGUGGAUGCAGGGAAGUCCUUGUCUGGGAAAUGUCUGUGCAAAGCACAUUGCUGGAAUGGGCUGGUCCUAGCCCCCAUUUUCCAGAGCCUGCUGCAGCUGUAUGGCAGCAGGAACUGGGUGCUGUUAAAACCCUUGCUCAGGCUGGGAGUGGUCUGUGAGAAGCUGAUUCUGGUGUGUGAUGUUUGACUUUCCACUCCCAAAACGUAGCUGAGUCUAGAUCCAGUUCCAGGCACUGAACAUAAACGAGGGUAGCCCUGGAGCCCCCAGCUUGCCUCCUGCUCUGGGCUGGACCUCGUUCCCCUGGCACAGUGAGGUUUGGGAAGCUCUGAGCCACACUGUCAGUUUGGGGGGCAGGUCUGCCCAAACACUAAAGCACAAGGUCCCCACAUGCAGGUGGGUUAGGAGGGGUGGCCCCUUGGACUCUGGCCCUUCAGAGCUCAGAUUUGGGCCAUGGGCUGGGACAGCUGAGGAGAAGGUGGGCUGGAACGAGGGCUCUUUGCCUGCCAAUGGCCACGGGUGAGCUGUUCCAUCCCUUUGCUGGCUGCUCUCUGGGGCUCAGUUGUGCCCUGCUGCACAACUGAAGUCCCCUCUGGUGGUCCCUGAGCCUCUCUGACAGCCCCUUCAGGGCAGGGACACUUUGGAGCUGCCUUUGCCCCAUGCACCUCGUUCUCUUCACCCUUGGGUGCCUUGGUUUGUGCCAAGCGUGUGAUCAUACCUGCAGUCCUUCCUCAAAUUUCUGGGUUAUGGUUUUGUCCCUGGGGCCUGACUCUUGCACCAGGGGUCUCCUCACCCCCAGCACACAGGGGUCGGCUCCAGGCUCUGGGGGGGAGGCAGGGCUGCCCCAGAGCUGAGCUUUGCACAACAGGGGUGGACAAGACUCAGAAGCCCAAAAGCACUGGAUCCCCAAACCACUGUGAGCCCCUAUGGGAGCCUGAGCACUGUCUCCUUUCUGGCUCCUACAGCCCCCAUGGCACAGGAUGGGCUGGCCAGCUGUGACAGGAGCUUUGGGGUCCCAUCCUGUCCCCCCCAGGUACAUUGUUUCUCCCCACCAUCUCUGAGCACAGCUGCUUUGGGGUCUCAGAUACUGCCUCCUGCCUUGGUGCUGCCAAACCAGUGCCUGCCUCCCAGGGUGCUCUCCCAGUGCCCCAUCCCAGUCCUUCCCCUGCCCCACGCUGAACAGGGUCCAGGUACGAUCCCUGUGGAGCACAGGGUUCCAACUUGCUUUUCAGCAGCUCACUGGAACUUCACUCUGUCCUGCAGGCUGCACGCCCUCCUGAGCCCCCCUUCACCCUCCUGGGGAGGGAAGGGAACCCCCGGCCCCUCCAGGUGCUGCAUGGUGCUCACCUGUAACUGAGAGGGAGCCCAGCACAGACCCGAACCCCCAGGAAAGUACAGCCCUCUGCCUUCCUCCUGCCCUGGGGCGUGUGCCCUCAUCCAUCACAGCUCUGCCCUGGUCCCUGCCAACUGCUCCACCUGGCCUGGGACCCCCCAUCCAGCCCCACACGGGGCUGGGGAGCUGCAGCACCGUGUCGCCUGCUCCGCCACCCCUUCCUGCUGCACAAGGAGCACAAUAGCAGAUGCCUUUUCUCACUCAGAGCUGUUCCCAGAGGCCAGCUGCUGUGAAGGCUGGUGGUGUCUCUGGGGGGUUGUGCAGCCCAGCCCCGGUCUGGGUCUGUCAGAGCACGAGGUGUGUGCGUGUGUUUUAUACCUUGGUGUGUUCCUGUAAAUAGUGUAAGUUAUUGCGGUCUCCUGCUGUACGUUUUUCAAUGGCUGUGUUUGUUCUUUGCCUUUUUGUCUUUGCAAAUAAAAUGUUCUGAGAUGAA
Molecule: RNA transcript, 12922 nt
Organism: Pseudopipra pipra
Lineage: Eukaryota; Metazoa; Chordata; Aves; Passeriformes; Pipridae
Gene: KIF21B
Gene name: kinesin family member 21B
Exons: 36
Source: RefSeq, a predicted model, not a curated record